GCGGUUAUAGCUCAAUGGCAGAGCACUUCACUGUGGAUGAAGACGUUGUGGGUUCGAGUCCCACUAACCGCCCA
Molecule: transfer RNA, 74 nt
Filed under: Chloroflexota bacterium
Lineage: Bacteria; Bacillati; Chloroflexota
Description: Chloroflexi bacterium tRNA-His
Rfam family: tRNA
About the family: Transfer RNA (tRNA) molecules are approximately 80 nucleotides in length. Their secondary structure includes four short double-helical elements and three loops (D, anti-codon, and T loops). Further hydrogen bonds mediate the characteristic L-shaped molecular structure. tRNAs have two regions of fundamental functional importance: the anti-codon, which is responsible for specific mRNA codon recognition, and the 3' end, to which the tRNAs corresponding amino acid is attached (by aminoacyl-tRNA synthetases). tRNAs cope with the degeneracy of the genetic code in two manners: having more than one tRNA (with a specific anti-codon) for a particular amino acid; and 'wobble' base-pairing, i.e. permitting non-standard base-pairing at the 3rd anti-codon position.
Source: RNAcentral